Molecule: ribosomal RNA, 408 nt
Filed under: uncultured bacterium
Lineage: Bacteria
Description: partial 16S ribosomal RNA
Rfam family: Bacterial small subunit ribosomal RNA
Source: RNAcentral
GACGAACGCUGGCGGCGUGCCUAAUACAUGCAAGUCGAGCGAAGCGGCGGAUGGGUGAGUAACGCGUGGGUAACCUGCCCUUAAGUCUGGGAUAACAUUUGGAAACAGAUGCUAAUACCGGAUACUAAAGGCUGGAUCUGCGAUGCAUUAGCUAGUUGGUAAGGGAACGGCUUACCAAGGCGAUGAUGCAUAGCCGAUUUGAGAGCAUGAUCGGCCACAUUGAGACGGAGACACGGCCCUAACUCCUCAAGGAGGCAGCAGUAGGUAAUCUUCCACAGUGGACGAAAGUCAGAUGGAGCAACGCCGCGUGAGUGAAGAAGGUUUUCGGAUCGUAAAGCUCUGUUGUUGGUGAAGCGGUAAUCAACCAGAAAGUCACUGCUAACUACGUGCCAGCAGCCGCGGUAAUAC